Molecule: ribosomal RNA, 441 nt
Filed under: uncultured Coprothermobacter sp.
Lineage: Bacteria; Pseudomonadati; Coprothermobacterota; Coprothermobacteria; Coprothermobacterales; Coprothermobacteraceae
Description: bacterial SSU rRNA
Rfam family: Bacterial small subunit ribosomal RNA
Source: RNAcentral
CCUACGGGGGGCUGCAGCAGGGAAUCUUGGGCAAUGGGCGAAAGCCUGACCCAGCGACGCCGCGUGGAGGAAGAAGUCCUUCGGGGCGUAAACUCCUGGACUGGGGGACGAGGAAGGACGGUACCCCAGUAGAAAGGGACGGCUAACUACGUGCCAGCAGCCGCGGUAAAACGUAGGUCCCGAGCGUUGUUCGGAUUCACUGGGUGUAAAGGGCGCGUAGGUGGUUGUCUGUGUCUCAUGUGAAAACUCAGGGCUCAACUCUGAGAUUGCGUGGGAAACUAGGCAGCUAGAGGACGGUAGAGGGGAGUGGAAUUCCCGGUGUAGCGGUAAAAUGCGUAGAUAUCGGGAGGAACACCGGUGGCGAAGGCGGCUCUCUGGGCCGAUCCUGACGCUGAGGCGCGAAAGCUAGGGGAGCGAACCGGCUUAGAUACCCCAGUAGUC